This 3312-nucleotide long non-coding RNA is filed under the name Zea mays. RNAcentral describes it as "long non-coding RNA (ZMAY_LNC000334)". The record is from RNAcentral. Lineage: Eukaryota; Viridiplantae; Streptophyta; Magnoliopsida; Poales; Poaceae.
UCCUGCUCGCCCCCUCCUCCUCGGUGCGAGCUCGGCACCUCUCUGAUGCGGAGGCCGCGCCCAGGGACAGCAGCGCCAUGCGCCACCGACAUCUCUCCCCGCCGAGCAUGGCUCUGUGUGUGCUGCUCCAUUCAUCACCGUCGAGUCCUCGAAGGCUGCCCCCUUCCUUCCUCUCCACCACCUCCCUCCUCCACCUCCCAUUUGACGCCCUUGUCUGGUUUUGGACAGCAGCCGCAGCCACAUGCAGCAGCGGCAAAUCUGCUAUGCGUGCACAUUCCAGAGAUAGAAGAAGAUAACUCUCUGAGCCAAUGACAGGUGGGCCCAAGGCGAGAUGUGAGUACACAAUUUGCAGAUUUUUGUGUUGUGUUCAAAAAUUCAUAUCUUGAGUUUUAGAGCUCCUAAAAUUGUGAAAUUUGUUUUGUUGGCUUCCUUAUGAAAUGCUCUAACUAUUGGAUCUAUAUGUUGGUAUGUUUUAGUGGAAAAGUUUUUCUGUAGAAAUUCGUAUUUAAAACUAGUUUAAAAAAUAAAUGAACGUGCUUCUCUCUGUAGUUUUAUUUAUAAAAAUCCAAAAAUGAUGAAACUUAUUUUUUUUGUUAGAUGUUGUCAUACUCCAUCUAAGAAAAAUAUAAAACUUAUAUGUUGUUUACUGUUUUCUUGGUGUGUUAAUUAAAACAAGUUAAAUAGAGAAAAGAAUAUUGAUUUUCUUGUUAUUUUUGGAUCUGUAGCUCUAUUGCUCCAAAUGAAUUCAAAAUUUUACAGUAGACUCUUGGUGUCAUGCCUGGUGACUGGUAGAAAUAUCAUCAAUUUUGGUGCAUGUAUGAUUAUGUUAGUUAUUUAACUUGUUUGAUGCAUAUUUUGUAGUUUUAAAUAGUCUAAAUAUAAUGUAUAGAUGUAAAAAUGGAAAAUGGUGUUCCACUGUACUUGCAUGAUAUUAUAGUAGCCUAAGAAAAUUUAAUAUAGUCAUGCAUCCACAGAAAAUAAUUAGUUUUAGAUUUAACUUGCUCUCACAUGCUUUAUUGCAUUAACAAUUUGUUAUUUUUGUAGUAAAUACUAUAUAAAAUCUGAGCAUGUGAAAUUUAUACAUUAUUCAUCAUCUGUCAUUACCUAUGCCUCAUAAAAAUUCCAUCCCAAAUUAGAUAGUUUCGUAUGGUGCUAAAUUAACAUCCAUUUUAUAAUUACAAGACUUAGUGAAAAAUUAGGAGUAAACGAAAUCAUGCAUGUUCAUGGAAUUCUUGGGUUACACCUUAAAACCAAUUAGAGGUUAAAUGGUUAUAUCAUGGUGGUCUAAAGCUAAAUAUUAGUAGUGCUUCAUCAUAAUUUUGUGUGAUGUCGGACAUGUGUGCCGAAGUGCUUUAUUUUGGGGAAUGCGUUUGUUAAUUGUGUGGUAAUUCUAGCGCACGAAAUGACUUGGAUAAAAUUUAUAAGUCGACUUGUUGGUCCUCUUUUGUUUGUUUUCACUCUAACCAAUGGUAAAGUGUUAGGGCAAUUCAAGUCUCUAGAACAUGACAAUUCUUGAAGUAAAUAGGAGCUAAAAUUUAUUAGUUGUUGUAUUAGGCUGCGCGCACUAUUUUUUCUGUGCUGUGGCCUACGUGUUUAAUGAACUAAAUCAUGUUUUCUGUAGAAAACGUCAUGUAGAAGAGUUGUAGAUAACUUUAUUAACUUAUUUGUGUUAAAAUCUGACCGUCAUAAACCUGAUCGAUUAGAAGUUAUGCUUUUUAUAAGUUCAGUAACUGAAUAUGUCCAAUUUCGGUACAUAUUUCAGAGAUUGCAUUGUUUGUUUAAGUUUAGUUUAGAAUCAGUCGUUGUCAAUUAUAAGGAAGUUGUAGAUAAUUUCAUUAUCUUGCUUGUGUUAAAUGUUCAUGACAAUAAACCUGAUAGUUUGAGAGUUAUAAAUUUUAUAAGAUGAUUGUUGUAUUCUAUCCACUGCCUGAACAAAUUUCGAAAACUAUAUUGUUUGAUUUGGUUAAAUAUAGAAUCACUUCUUGGUGAUUAUAUAAGUUAUGUAGUGCUUUUACUAAGCUUUCCGAAAAGUCUUAGAUCAUUCUUUUUGGUGGUCUAGAGCUCAGGUUAUAGAUGUUUAAAGUGUGAAGACUGAAUCUAUCCAAAUCUGGACAGCAAAGCCUUCUAGUGUCUUUUAUCCUAAAUUGCAUAUUGAAUCACCUUGAGAUGUCCAUAAAUGAUUUGUAGAUAAUUUCAUUAUCUUUUCAGAAAGUCUAGGUUCACUUUGUUUGGAUGUCUAAAUCUCUAGUUAUGAAUUUUUGAAUUCGCAAGUCUGAAUCUGUCCAAAUCUGAAUAAAGCUGUCGUUUAUCACUAUUUAACCUUGUUAAGUGUCUAAUCACCUUGAGAUGACAAUACCAAAGUUGUAAAGACUUUUUAGACUUUCCAAAAAGUCUUUGAUCACUAUUUUAGAUGAAUAUCUUGUGAGUUACGACUGAAACAAGUAAAUGUUGUGCUGCUGUCCUAAUCUUGUUGAUUGUGAUUGAUUGCUCUACUCUCUUAUCUUGCUUGAGUAUGAUUGAUAGUGUUAUCUCAUGAUCCCUAUAUUAGUAGAUUAUAUAAUUGGAGAUAGACAAGUAACUAGUGCAGUAGUAAAUUAAAUGGUUGACGUCUAGUAAGAAAUUAGCUUCGAUCAACAUCAAUUUAGCAAGUGUCACUAUAUGGGCGAGAAACAAAAUUAAUGAUAUGUUACCAUUUCUAAUAAUUGUGCUGCUAAUCUGAGUAUUACUAAAUAACCAACCUCAAUAGAUUACUAUAAUAAGCAGUGUGAUUAGGCUAUCACUUUCUUGUGUGCCCUUGGAUGUAUGCUUGCAUUAGAGUAUUGCGAACAAUUAUAAAACCCGAUUAAGUGACUAUUCCUUUUUAACUAUGUUUGUCUAUAUAUAAGUCCUAGCAAAUUGAUGUGUACUUAACUAGUAUAAUAAUAAAGGAACCAAUAAAAAAUUAGAGCGAAUGUGAUAAAUUCUUGCACGUGUGAUGCCGUGUUGCGCUGAUUAAUUCUAGAAAGUAAUUGUCGUCUUUCUAAUGAUAUUGAUUAUGUAUGCCCGAUGACGUGUAGAUAACUAAUGCUAGCGUGUGGUUGUUUACCGUGUAUUUGUAUAUCUUGUGAUAUUUUUUAUUAUAUUCAUACAUAUGCAUCUUGCAUCUCAUUUAGGACCGAGAGAUGAUGAUCGUGCAAGUGAUGUGGUGCCAACUACAAGAUGCAGUUGGUGGACGACCCAAAGAAGGAUGGACUUAACAGUGGAUGCUCGCCAAGCGAGUGUCAUCUAGAAAACACUAUCUAGUGUUGAAUUCCAGGCAAGCCCCGGUUUUAU